GGUAUCUUGUCGGAGUGCCCAACAAGCCUUAUGGCGCGUGGGCUGAGACCGUUAAUUCGGGAUCCGCGGAACCUGAUCAGGUUAAGACCUGCGAAGGGAACAAGAGUAAUUAUAUU
This 116-nucleotide non-coding RNA is filed under the name Dickeya dadantii 3937. RNAcentral's name for it is "TPP riboswitch aptamer (THI element)". It matches the Rfam family "TPP riboswitch aptamer (THI element)". From Rfam's summary of the family: Vitamin B(1) in its active form thiamin pyrophosphate (TPP) is an essential coenzyme that is synthesised by coupling of pyrimidine and thiazole moieties in bacteria. Lineage: Bacteria; Pseudomonadati; Pseudomonadota; Gammaproteobacteria; Enterobacterales; Pectobacteriaceae. RNAcentral also lists the same sequence under 1 other name. The record is from Rfam by way of RNAcentral.